AGAGUUUGAUCAUGGCUCAGGAUGAACGCUAGCGGCAGGCUUAACACAUGCAAGUCGAGGGGUAUAGUUCUUCGGAACUAGAGACCGGCGCACGGGUGCGUAACGCGUAUGCAAUCUACCUUUCACAAAGGGAUAGCCCAGAGAAAUUUGGAUUAAUACCCUAUAGUAUAUAUGAAUGGCAUCAUUUAUAUAUUAAAGAUUUAUCGGUGAAAGAUGAGCAUGCGUCCCAUUAGCUUGUUGGUAAGGUAGCGGCUUACCAAGGCUACGAUGGGUAGGGGUCCUGAGAGGGAGAUCCCCCACACUGGUACUGAGACACGGACCAGACUCCUACGGGAGGCAGCAGUGAGGAAUAUUGGACAAUGGGCGCAAGCCUGAUCCAGCCAUGCCGCGUGCAGGAUGACGGUCCUAUGGAUUGUAAACUGCUUUUGUACAGGAAGAAACAGUUCUACGUGUAGAACCUUGACGGUACUGUAAGAAUAAGGAUCGGCUAACUCCGUGCCAGCAGCCGCGGUAAUACGGAGGAUCCAAGCGUUAUCCGGAAUCAUUGGGUUUAAAGGGUCCGUAGGCGGUUAGAUAAGUCAGUGGUGAAAGCCCAUCGCUCAACGGUGGAACGGCCAUUGAUACUGUCUGACUUGAAUUAUUAGGAAGUAACUAGAAUAUGUAGUGUAGCGGUGAAAUGCUUAGAGAUUACAUGGAAUACCAAUUGCGAAGGCAGGUUACUACUAAUGGAUUGACGCUGAUGGACGAAAGCGUGGGUAGCGAACAGGAUUAGAUACCCUGGUAGUCC
This 787-nucleotide ribosomal RNA is filed under the name uncultured bacterium. RNAcentral describes it as "bacterial SSU rRNA". It matches the Rfam family "Bacterial small subunit ribosomal RNA", at positions 8 to 796 of the family's 1533-position model. The record is from RNAcentral.